AUACCUUUCUCGGCCUUUUGGCUAAGAUCAAGUGUAGUAUCUGUUCUUAUCAGUUUAAUAUCUGAUAUGUGGGCCAAUGGUCCACUUGAUAUUAAAUUUAUUUAUUGAGGGGGAGAGGCCACCACGGUAGCUUGCUAUUGGGCCUCUCUGUGUCGCCUUUGUGUUGCACUAUAGCAAUGGUCUGGCGCACCCCAC
This is a small nuclear RNA of Medicago truncatula (barrel medic), 195 nucleotides long. It matches the Rfam family "U2 spliceosomal RNA". From Rfam's summary of the family: U2 is a small nuclear RNA (snRNA) component of the spliceosome (involved in pre-mRNA splicing). Complementary binding between U2 snRNA (in an area lying towards the 5' end but 3' to hairpin I) and the branchpoint sequence (BPS) of the intron results the bulging out of an unpaired adenosine, on the BPS, which initiates a nucleophilic attack at the intronic 5' splice site, thus starting the first of two transesterification reactions that mediate splicing. The record is from Rfam. Lineage: Eukaryota; Viridiplantae; Streptophyta; Magnoliopsida; Fabales; Fabaceae.